This 1048-nucleotide ribosomal RNA is filed under the name Escherichia coli. RNAcentral's name for it is "partial 23S ribosomal RNA". It matches the Rfam family "Bacterial large subunit ribosomal RNA", at positions 498 to 1551 of the family's 2925-position model. The record is from RNAcentral. Lineage: Bacteria; Pseudomonadati; Pseudomonadota; Gammaproteobacteria; Enterobacterales; Enterobacteriaceae.
GUACCGUGAGGGAAAGGCGAAAAGAACCCCGGCGAGGGGAGUGAAAAAGAACCUGAAACCGUGUACGUACAAGCAGUGGGAGCCUCUUAAUGGGGUGACUGCGUACCUUUUGUAUAAUGGGUCAGCGACUUAUAUUCUGUAGCAAGGUUAACCGAAUAGGGGAGCCGAAGGGAAACCGAGUCUUAACUGGGCGUUAAGUUGCAGGGUAUAGACCCGAAACCCGGUGAUCUAGCCAUGGGCAGGUUGAAGGUUGGGUAACACUAACUGGAGGACCGAACCGACUAAUGUUGAAAAAUUAGCGGAUGACUUGUGGCUGGGGGUGAAAGGCCAAUCAAACCGGGAGAUAGCUGGUUCUCCCCGAAAGCUAUUUAGGUAGCGCCUCGUGAAUUCAUCUCCGGGGGUAGAGCACUGUUUCGGCAAGGGGGUCAUCCCGACUUACCAACCCGAUGCAAACUGCGAAUACCGGAGAAUGUUAUCACGGGAGACACACGGCGGGUGCUAACGUCCGUCGUGAAGAGGGAAACAACCCAGACCGCCAGCUAAGGUCCCAAAGUCAUGGUUAAGUGGGAAACGAUGUGGGAAGGCCCAGACAGCCAGGAUGUUGGCUUAGAAGCAGCCAUCAUUUAAAGAAAGCGUAAUAGCUCACUGGUCGAGUCGGCCUGCGCGGAAGAUGUAACGGGGCUAAACCAUGCACCGAAGCUGCGGCAGCGACACUAUGUGUUGUUGGGUAGGGGAGCGUUCUGUAAGCCUGUGAAGGUGGCCUGUGAGGGUUGCUGGAGGUAUCAGAAGUGCGAAUGCUGACAUAAGUAACGAUAAAGCGGGUGAAAAGCCCGCUCGCCGGAAGACCAAGGGUUCCUGUCCAACGUUAAUCGGGGCAGGGUGAGUCGACCCCUAAGGCGAGGCCGAAAGGCGUAGUCGAUGGGAAACAGGUUAAUAUUCCUGUACUUGGUGUUACUGCGAAGGGGGGACGGAGAAGGCUAUGUUGGCCGGGCGACGGUUGUCCCGGUUUAAGCGUGUAGGCUGGUUUUCCAGGCAAAUCCGGAAAACC